This 482-nucleotide ribosomal RNA is filed under the name uncultured bacterium. RNAcentral describes it as "partial 16S ribosomal RNA". It matches the Rfam family "Bacterial small subunit ribosomal RNA", at positions 30 to 507 of the family's 1533-position model. The record is from RNAcentral.
AUUGAACGCUGGCGGCAUGCUUUACACAUGCAAGUCGAACGGUAACAGGCCGCAAGGUGCUGACGAGUGGCGAACGGGUGAGUAAUGCAUCAGAACGUGCCCAGUCGUGGGGGAUAACUACUCGAAAGAGUAGCUAAUACCGCAUACGAUCUAUGGAUGAAAGCGGGGGACCGUAAGGCCUCGCGCGAUUGGAGCGGCCGAUGUCAGAUUAGGUAGUUGGUGGGGUAAAGGCUCACCAAGCCAACGAUCUGUAGCUGGUCUGAGAGGACGACCAGCCACACUGGGACUGAGAAACGGCCCAGACUCCUACGGGAGGCAGCAGUGGGGAAUUUUGGACAAUGGGCGGAAGCCUGAUCCAGCAAUGCCGCGUGGAGGAAGAAGGCCUUCGGGUUUUAAACUGCUUUUGUAAGGAACGAAACGGCUCUGGUUAAUACCCGGGGCUAAUGACGGUACCGUAAGAAUAAGCACCGGCUAACUACGUG